GUCCAGACUCCUACGGGAGGCAGCAGUGGGGAAUAUUGCACAAUGGGGGAAACCCUGAUGCAGCGACGCCGCGUGAGUGAAGAAGUAUUUCGGUAUGUAAAGCUCUAUCAGCAGGGAAGAAAAUGACGGUACCUGACUAAGAAGCCCCGGCUAACUACGUGCCAGCAGCCGCGGUAAUACGUAGGGGGCAAGCGUUAUCCGGAUUUACUGGGUGUAAAGGGAGCGUAGACGGCAGCACAAGUCUGGAGUGAAAUCCCGGGGCUUAACCCCGGAACUGCUUUGGAAACUGUGCGGCUGGAGUGCAGGAGGGGUAAGCGGAAUUCCUAGUGUAGCGGUGAAAUGCGUAGAUAUUAGGAGGAACACCGGUGGCGAAGGCGGCUUGCUGGACUGUAACUGACGUUGAGGCUCGAAAGCGUGGGGAGCAAACAGGAUUAGAUACCCUCGUAGAA
Molecule: ribosomal RNA, 449 nt
Filed under: uncultured bacterium
Lineage: Bacteria
Description: bacterial SSU rRNA
Rfam family: Bacterial small subunit ribosomal RNA
Source: RNAcentral